This is a non-coding RNA of Arabis alpina (gray rockcress), 106 nucleotides long. The record is from Rfam. NCBI's taxonomy places the organism in Eukaryota, Viridiplantae, Streptophyta, Magnoliopsida, Brassicales, Brassicaceae.
AACCCGUGAUGAGGACAAUCUCUAUGAUAUCCUUUGAACCUUUCCCACGCAGCUUUGAACGCUUAUGUUGGUCCUUGAUUGAACAUGGAGAUCUUAGCUCGUAGAU